UACGGGGGGGGCAAGCGUUGUUCGGAAUUACUGGGCGUAAAGGGCUCGUAGGCGGCCAACUAAGUCGGAUGUGAAAUCCCCAGGCUUAACCUGGGAACUGCAUCCGAUACUGGAUGGCUUGAAUCCGGGAGAGGGAUGCAGAAUUCCAGGUGUAGCGGUGAAAUGCGUAGAUAUCUGGAGGAAUACCGGUGGCGAAGGCGGCAUCCUGGACCGGCAUUGACGCUGAGUGAGCGAAAGCCAGGGGAGCGAACGGG
This 254-nucleotide ribosomal RNA is filed under the name uncultured bacterium. RNAcentral describes it as "partial 16S ribosomal RNA". It matches the Rfam family "Bacterial small subunit ribosomal RNA", at positions 524 to 776 of the family's 1533-position model. The record is from RNAcentral.